Molecule: long non-coding RNA, 1069 nt
Filed under: Homo sapiens (human)
Lineage: Eukaryota; Metazoa; Chordata; Mammalia; Primates; Hominidae
Description: novel transcript
Source: RNAcentral
GGAGGGGGGACACGUGACCGCCCGGCCAGGCGGCCCGGCGCGCCCCAUUCGCGAUGGGCACCCCAUCUUCCUCCUGGAAAAGCCGGGGGACACAGAGAAGGCGGAGGAGCACGCGGGGUGCAGGAGAGCCUACCAGCCCCUUUAGCCGCAGUGCUGGUGAUUCCGGCCGCUGAACCCGGAGAGGAAAGGCUCCCACGCGGCCAGCCGGCCUUGACUGUCCUCUCGCCCUGCCCUUGGCCGCAGUACCCUCCCCUCGGCUGCAGUAACCGCCCCCUACACCUCCAGGCAAGGGCACGCUCAGUGUAGACCACUGCCACUUCAUAGAUGCCAGUGCCACUUAAGAGUGGUGUUGGGUUUUUUUUUUUUCCUUUCCUCCUCUCUGCACACCAGCACAUUGUACCCGAGAGAAACUCACGGCGGUGCACUGCAGACACCGCCCAGCUCCAGGGCCCGAAGACCCUCCGACCAGGCCCCGGGAUGCCUGAGGUCUCCCAGGUCAUUACGUGGAGGAACUCAGGCCUGCUCCCUGCGCAGGAGGAGGAGGCGUCGCGGGAGCUGCAGUCCCCGAUCCUUCCCAGGAAGCCGGCCGGGUGGAAGGGGAGAGGGCCGUUAUCGUGGUGCGAAUCCAACUCGCAGCCUCUGGGAGCACGUUGCUAAUAAAGGUCAAAUUAAAACAACUAAGUGGUGCCGGCAGGGACGCGCCGCAUGGUCAGGAGAAGCCCGGCUAUUAAUCAUCCAUAAGGAGCAUUGCUCUUCUGGUGUGGGAGAAUGGGGCUGUGCGACAGCCCCCCGGAGUUGCGCUCUGCUCUGAACCCUAAGCUCCCCCAGAGCAAGUGGAUUGCGCAGCCUAUUACCCCACCUCCCCACGGCCCCCUCUUGGGGCGGCACCACCCUAGAUGGCAGGAAUUCGGAGAAAAUGCGGUGUCACGUCCGCCGCUAUGCCCGCACACGCGUCUGCGCCAACUCCAGCAACACGUGGGGACCGUGAAUCUGGGCGUCUGCUCUCCACUUAGGUGGUUAUGUGGGUAUACUUAUAUGAUUACUGAUUAAAACCAAAUUGGACGGAGAA